GCGUCGUUAGCGCAAUAGGCAGCGCGUCAGUCUCAUAUUCUGAUUUAGAAAUUUGAAGGUCGGGAGUUCGAUCCUCACACAGGGCA
This 86-nucleotide transfer RNA is filed under the name Nematostella vectensis (starlet sea anemone). It matches the Rfam family "tRNA". From Rfam's summary of the family: Transfer RNA (tRNA) molecules are approximately 80 nucleotides in length. The record is from Rfam by way of RNAcentral. Lineage: Eukaryota; Metazoa; Cnidaria; Anthozoa; Actiniaria; Edwardsiidae.